GUGGCCCUGACUGAAGACCAGCAGUUACACUAUAGCUGUUGGUUUCAAGCAGAGGCCUAAAAAACUUAUCUUCUAUGGUUCAUUGGCUGUUCUGGGAUCUUAGUUGAGAAUGGCUGUUUCAUUUGGAAGAAACAAUC
Molecule: small nucleolar RNA, 137 nt
Organism: Ictidomys tridecemlineatus (thirteen-lined ground squirrel)
Lineage: Eukaryota; Metazoa; Chordata; Mammalia; Rodentia; Sciuridae
Source: Ensembl